This 71-nucleotide transfer RNA is filed under the name Bos taurus (domestic cattle). It matches the Rfam family "tRNA". From Rfam's summary of the family: Transfer RNA (tRNA) molecules are approximately 80 nucleotides in length. Their secondary structure includes four short double-helical elements and three loops (D, anti-codon, and T loops). Further hydrogen bonds mediate the characteristic L-shaped molecular structure. tRNAs have two regions of fundamental functional importance: the anti-codon, which is responsible for specific mRNA codon recognition, and the 3' end, to which the tRNAs corresponding amino acid is attached (by aminoacyl-tRNA synthetases). tRNAs cope with the degeneracy of the genetic code in two manners: having more than one tRNA (with a specific anti-codon) for a particular amino acid; and 'wobble' base-pairing, i.e. permitting non-standard base-pairing at the 3rd anti-codon position. Lineage: Eukaryota; Metazoa; Chordata; Mammalia; Artiodactyla; Bovidae. RNAcentral also lists the same sequence under 2 other names. The record is from Rfam by way of RNAcentral.
UCCUGGGUGGCUCAGUGGUAAAGAAUCUGCCUGCAAUGCAGAAGACCCAGGUUCGAUCCCUGGAUUGGGAA